UUACCGAGUGCGGGUCCUUUGGGCCCAACCUCCCAUCCGUGUCUAUUGUACCCUGUUGCUUCGGCGGGCCCGCCGCUUGUCGGCCGCCGGGGGGGCGCCUCUGCCCCCCGGGCCCGUGCCCGCCGGAGACCCCAACACGAACACUGUCUGAAAGCGUGCAGUCUGAGUUGAUUGAAUGCAAUCAGUUAAAACUUUCAACAAUGGAUCUCUUGGUUCCGGCAUCGAUGAAGAACGCAGCGAAAUGCGAUAACUAAUGUGAAUUGCAGAAUUCAGUGAAUCAUCGAGUCUUUGAACGCACAUUGCGCCCCCUGGUAUUCCGGGGGGCAUGCCUGUCCGAGCGUCAUUGCUGCCCUCAAGCCCGGCUUGUGUGUUGGGUCGCCGUCCCCCUCUCCGGGGGGACGGGCCCGAAAGGCAGCGGCGGCACCGCGUCCGAUCCUCGAGCGUAUGGGGCUUUGUCACAUGCUCUGUAGGAUUGGCCGGCGCCUGCCGACGUUUUCCAACCAUUCUUUCCAGGUUGACCUCGGAUCAGGUAGGGAUACCCGCUGAACUUAAGCAUAUCAAUAAGCGGAGGAAAAGAAACCAACCGGGAUUGCCUCAGUAACGGCGAGUGAAGCGGCAAGAGCUCAAAUUUGAAAGCUGGCUCCUUCGGAGUCCGCAUUGUAAUUUGCAGAGGAUGCUUUGGGUGCGGCCCCCGUCUAAGUGCCCUGGAACGGGCCGUCAGAGAGGGUGAGAAUCCCGUCUUGGGCGGGGUGUCCGUGCCCGUGUAAAGCUCCUUCGACGAGUCGAGUUGUUUGGGAAUGCAGCUCUAAAUGGGUGGUAAAUUUCAUCUAAAGCUAAAUACUGGCCGGAGACCGAUAGCGCACAAGUAGAGUGAUCGAAAGAUGAAAAGCACUUUGAAAAGAGAGUUAAACAGCACGUGAAAUUGUUGAAAGGGAAGCGCUUGCGACCAGACUCGCCCGCGGGGUUCAGCCGGCAUUCGUGCCGGUGUACUUCCCCGUGGGCGGGCCAGCGUCGGUUUGGGCGGCCGGUCAAAGGCCCCUGGAAUGUAGUGCCCUCCGGGGCACCUUAUAGCCAGGGGUGCAAUGCGGCCAGCCUGGACCGAGGAACGCGCU
This 1112-nucleotide ribosomal RNA is filed under the name Eurotiales sp. NC1428. RNAcentral describes it as "eukaryotic LSU rRNA". The stretch from base 516 to 1112 matches the Rfam family "Eukaryotic large subunit ribosomal RNA", at positions 1 to 601 of the family's 3401-position model. Lineage: Eukaryota; Fungi; Ascomycota; Eurotiomycetes; Eurotiales. The record is from RNAcentral.